CGACCGCGUCUCCGCAGUGAUCUUGGGAGCCACACCACGAGGGGAAGGAGUCCCUCUGCCUGUGCACUGCUGUGUUCUCCGGACUUGGGACUCGGACACUUGAAUUGCCUCGAGCGUCCUCCUUCCUUGUCUCCCUCCCUCAUCAUCUCCUCCGCGCUUCUCUUGUCCUUUCCGCUGUCCCUUCCCUGCGGAGCCUCCCUGUCUCCAGUGUGGUCAGGUGCAUCGCUCAGGCCGUCGGUCCUGCGGAGCAGCCGGUCUAGGGCGUGUGUUUCCCCGGGUGGUGUCUGAGGCUCCAGCCGCCCAGAAACUCGAGAUUCUAGUGUCCCAAAAGCAGAACUUUCACCUUUCGUAUGUGGGCACCUCUUCCGGACCUCCAAAGAUAACCGUCUACGCGGGUCUGCACGCUGCUUCCCGCAAUUCUUUUAUUCCCUCCUUUUUUGACUUCCUGUGAAGUUGAGUUUUCUUGAGGUAGUGCUUUUGCUCAGAGGCCACAUGCUUAGCUCUGAAUUUCUCUCUUGACUUUUUUCCUUCCGUACUAGUCAACCAAUAGGACAGUUUAUCCUUCCUCGUGUUCCCAACGUUUUGAGGGAGUUUUUUUUUUUUUUUCUUCUUCUCUCUUCUCCAUUUUCAUUUUGAUUUUUUCUAAGAUAAUGUUUUUAACUGUUUUGUUAAAAUGUGUACCCAAAAUAUAGCAAACGUUAAUGUAGAUUUUGUGUACUGUACCUGGCUGAAUAUUUCGAGCAUUACGUAACAUAUGUUCAACUGUACUUCGGGCAUACAGUUACGGACUUGGAAAUUUUAAUGUGAAUAAUCGGAAUGCUGGUCUGAAGAACUGAGAGUCAAUCUAUAGUAACAUGUUGGUUUCCGUUUAAGAGUAUGUAGAAAGUGUUUUAACUGUGUAGAUCACAGAGGAGCUGGGCAAAAGGGGAAGCAUGAUCUAGUGUGGUUACCUAAAGGUAGCUUAUGGAGCAGCCAGCAAAGUAACUAAAAUAUGGUGUAAUGAAUAGGCAGGCAGUGUAGAGAUCUUAGGUAAAAAGGUAAAGCCAUGCCAAAUCAGAUACCAUAUUGUAUAGAUUAGAUUGCCUGGCAGUCACUGGGGACUUACUCUGAAAAAGAUGUGGAGAUCAAACAUAAUUAAAAUUAGUUUGUGAUUAACAUUGAUUGUGCUUACAGUGUCUAGAGUUAAGCUAGAAUGAGAUGACUCUUUUUGAAAAUGGUAAGUUUGUGGGCGAUUGGCUUGACAUUAAGCCCUGGGGUACAGAGAAAGGAGAGUCAGCAGUUAGGUAGUAUUUCAAUCUCAGGUUGCAUGUGGAAAUACCUUCUCCUCAUUCUCUUAGGAGCAGGAAUGCAUCCAGAACAUGCUACAUUAAAAGAGGAGUUCUCAGGGCUGCCAACCUUACAGUAGAGGUUGGGUAGUAGUAUAUUUCUCCUACAGAAAGAGAAAAGAAAAUUAGCAGGAGUUGACUGACUGUAGGAAAGAAGAGUCAAACAUGACCUCAGCUUCUGGCUUGGGUGGAUCAAUAAAGUAUAAUUUGAAGAAUAGACUUGAUAGGAAAGAAAAUUAGAUCAGUUUUGGACAUUACAGAAUUUGAAAUGUUUACAGGUUAAGUGAUAAUUUUUACUUUCAAAAUCUUUAACUGUCAUUUGAAAAGUUGAUGUUCAGAGAUAGUGGCCCAAGUUUAUUUUGAAACUAAUGCAGUCUAGGGCUGGUGGCAUAGCAAGCCUGCUGACCCAAGCCUGAUGGCUCCUGGACCCGUGGAAGAGGGAGCUAACCCUGCCUAAAGCCACCCGCUCAAUUGUGGCACAUGCACCUUAGUAUUCUCUCACUCACAUACACAAUAAAAAGAAAGACAUUAGUGCAGACCAGAAACUAGCUGCUGUUUUCAGUUUCACAUGUACAGAAAACUUGGAAUUUGAAAAUAAUUUAAAGUUAGACAUUUUAGUAAUAUAAGUGCAUCUGCACAUACUGAGUAAAGCAGUCGUCAGUAACGGAUUGCUGACUCCUAGUGUAGAAGGAUUUUGCACAUUAAAUGAAGGUAAUUUAUAACAUUAGCUGCUUCAAAGGAAAAAAUGCUUUAUUUUAAUUAUUUUCAUUUUUUCCUUGUCCAGUUCUUAUAUUUACAAUAGGGUUUGGAAGUUUAUUUGUCUGAAAGUGAAACAUCUGUUUCUAUUAUGAAUACGAUUGCAAUGUUUUUGAAAUGAACUCACUGUGUAACGUAGCCUUCACUGUGUUGACACAGGUGUAGCAAGAUACAGAUAUCUUUGACAGGAGAGAAGUCUGGAGUAUUUCUUCAUCUGUAAUUACUGACUCAUGCUUAAAAAUGGAUGGGAAUUAAUUGGGUCCUUGAAAUUAAGUCACUUAUGAUCACAUCUAAGGUGUAUUUUACUUUGUUCUGAGGAAAGAAAGAAGAUAAAACUUGGCUUCACACAAGAAAUGUAGUCUUGGGAAGUACAUACGUAUUGUUUAUAAUUGAAUUCCCCAAAGCAGCACUGACUCAUUUAAAGGGUAUUAGUCUCUAAUUGAGGGCUCUCAGUCAAGUUCAAACUGUACAGAUCCUUUGAGAGGUUAGCUGUUUGCUCACAUCACCACAGCCACAUGUACAUACAGCCACAUGUCAUGUAUGUACACCAUGAUCUUUAUACCAUGGGAUAGCUGAGAACAGGGCUGAGGAAAACUUCUGGACUCUUCUUUGUUAGGGGUGCAGAAGCUGGAGUCUUCCCUACUGCUUUUGGUAAACUUGUUGAUGGAAAACUUGUUGAGAUUCCAUCUGUUGGAAGAUAGAGACUCUAGCCGUCAUUUAAAAAAGCACUAGUAAUAUUUUAGGAGAACACCAAAGUAUAUUUCAUAGGGAAGGGGUGGUGUUUCCAGGUAUAUUUUUAAGAAAAUUAUUAUCCUAUACGGUUAGGAUAAUCAUCCUGAUACUGCUAUACUCUUGGUUUGGAAUAAGUGAGUUUAUUAAGUACACAGCAAGCUAAAGUAAAAGAAUACAUAGCAAAGGAUGAAGUAGACAAAACAUCAAAUUGUGACUGGGGAGAUGGCUCAGUGGAUAAGAACAUACAUGCUUCUAACUGCCUCUAACUCUAGCUCCAUGAAAUCCUUUGGGUCCCAAGGACACCUGAACUUACAUAUAUGCACACACAUAAUUUAAAUAUUAAAAAAUAAACACUUAAAAAGAGCAUCACCAUCGGCUGGAGAGUUGCACUGACUGAACUGUUAAAAGCACUGAUUACUCUUGCGUAGGAUAUGGAUUCCAUUCCUAGCACCCACAUGGUAGCUCACAACUGUCUCCAACUCUAGUCCCCAGAGACCAGUGUUCUAUUUUGGCCUCUAUAAGCACCAGGUAUCCAUGUUGUGCACAUAUAUACAUGCAGACAAAAUACUUAUACACGUAAUUAAAUCUUAAAAUCCAAACCAGGCACUUAAACAUCUAUCAGGUUCUUAAUAGAUCUAGCAGAAAUCCAUUGGGGAAAUACCUUUGAGAUUGUUGGCUGGAGUUCCUCAGAGAGUUUCCGGCAGAGCAGAAUGUCCCCUCCAGUGAGCCUUCCAGGUACAGGAACAAAUCACGACAUGCACAGAACCCAGCAGAAACCGACUGGACAAGUUGAGUGAGGCCAAUCUAAUGAUGCUUUGCUGUCUACCUGUAAUUUACUGAUUGUUCAUUUACUUCGACUUGCUAUAUAUUUAAUAAAAUCACUCAUUCAAAACCAAA
RNAcentral lists this long non-coding RNA (3710 nucleotides) under Mus caroli (Ryukyu mouse). RNAcentral's name for it is "predicted gene 29170 (MGP_CAROLIEiJ_G0034429.1)". The stretch from base 1303 to 1437 matches the Rfam family "Small nucleolar RNA U109". The record is from RNAcentral. Lineage: Eukaryota; Metazoa; Chordata; Mammalia; Rodentia; Muridae.